Long non-coding RNA from Bombyx mori (domestic silkworm), 9476 nucleotides. RefSeq lists it as uncharacterized. The record is from RefSeq and is a predicted model, not a curated record. The transcript has 2 exons. NCBI's taxonomy places the organism in Eukaryota, Metazoa, Arthropoda, Insecta, Lepidoptera, Bombycidae.
UUCAACAACGACAGGCACAUCUAAGCGGACCACUCGAAUUUCAAUUUGAGGGCCGACGAAGAGAACGGACGGCGUGAAAAGGACGAAACAUCUCUCCUCCCUUACUGAACGCAGAAUGGUUUAAAAAACCGUUUUAAUCCUUUUUUUUAAAAAAACAGCAAUGGUAAGAUUUUAUCUGACUUAAUUAUUCGCGUAAAAUGUGGAAGAGAAUUUGAUGAUGUAGAAGUACAUUAACAUAAGUUGUUGAGUCGAUCGUUGGAAAACCGACGAGGAGAUAGAAACACUCUUUGAAAUAAAGAACAGCAGAGAAGCAAAUUAAUACAGAAACUUGGUGUUCGUUUUUACAGACAUUACGUUCAAUUCAACUAUUUAUUAAAUUUAGCUGCACUAUUGUUCUUAGCAAAUACGGAGCGGACCGACUACAAAAACUUACGUUUUUCAUCACCUAAUAUUGUGCUCAGCUAUUUUUCAUUAAGUGUGGUGAAUGAGCGUAUAGAUUUCACUAAUGACUUUCUUGUGGAUGACAUUGACAUUGCUAGUUGGCUGUUUAAUUAAGAGAGCCCUUGCUUCGUUGCUUACAGAAACUAGAAAAGUCAUUGUGGUAACUAAUAGCUUAGAGAAAACAAGCAAAUAGUUCGUAGGCAUUAUUUCUUAACUCUGACAGUUGUUCUCUCAUUAAAAGUGAAUGUCGUGGAACAACGAGUUGUGAGUUCAUUUUAGCCGCACGCUGUGACUUAGAGUGCCCGUAGCAGAGUACAAUACAGUGCUUGAUAAUUGUAUUUACAUUCUAAACCUUGCAGUAAUUGUCGCCUGCCGCUGCCGGAAGUCGUCGCUGCGAUGCUCGACUGCGACUGGUCACGGCGACGCAGGUGCUCAGUUUCAGUAGCUGCCUGCACCUCGUCGCUCGGAGGGAGCCGACGAUAGGACCGAUCCUGCCGCUGCUGACCGUCAUCCGUCAUGGCUCGGCAGUGACAAGUCGAGGGAGGCGAGGCUACACCGUGCGCUACCGCUACUGGCGCUACUCUACGACGCGGUUUGGUCGUCGAUCCACGAAUAAAGUUUAUGACUUGCUCGAAAAAAUACAAUCAAAGUUGAUUCAUUUAGUAUCGGAUUUGUUCUGGACUAUCAAUUCAUAUAAACAGUUGAAUCUCAAUUGUAUUUUGUACUCAAAUGACUCCGGCAUGCCACGCCGCUCUGCGGACAGCGCUGUUGGUAGUAAGCACUGUAUACCAGCAUCACGUGAACAGUAAGCUCUACAUCCCCUCUGUACUAAUAAAUAUAGCUUACAGCUCAAAUGAUGUUAGCUUCAAACUCUUCUUCAUUAGUUAGUAACUCAAUACGUACGAUUCAACUAGAUGUUAAAUCAGUGGUCCAGUUCAAAAAGCUCGUUCAGCCCGCACCCGGCUCGCGAGACCUACCGAACUUCUGACGCGCUAAUUACACACAUUUCUUACGUCAUCCAUAAAAAUAAUGUACAUUUUCGGAUGAGGCUAAGCACAUAAAUCCACCUCGUUUCCAUUUACGAUUGUUUCAUUCGUGUUUCACGAUCAAGUUAUUACAUAAACACGUUAUAAAGUAGACCUGACGAGAGACGCGAGACCUGGACGAAUACUAACGCUAAUAAAACUAAUCAAUUCAUUCGAUCGACCGUCGCCUAAGUUCAAGAAAAUCGUUUAUUCACAGAAUAAAUAAAUAUUUGGAAUGUUAGAAACUUGAUAACAAAAAUAAUUCUCAUCCCUCUGAAUACAUUUCAAUGAAUACAAUGUGACUGAGAACUUCGAAAAUUGUAUUUGCUUGAUAAUUCGAAAACCACAAUUGUACACUGUUGAAUAAUGCAAUAUUGGAGACAUAACAAAUAGGGCCUUGCUUUUUUUUCUUCAUUGGGUACGAACAUACGGCCCACCUGAUGGAAAGUCGUAGAACGCACAAUGAAUUCUUGGAGAGAUAAUAAUAUGUCGAUCGAUAGAUGGGAACUAAUAGAUUGUUCUUUUGCUAUGUAACUUCAUGCUUCAAGGUGGCUGCUACUAUGAGUGCCCAUGGGCUUGUUUGUCUAUCCUCAUAAGAAAUAAGAGGUGACGGUGGUGAGCAUUUGCAAAUACAUUUACUUCUCCGUAUCCACGCGUGUGUUUAUAGUGUACCUACGCGUGGUCCGCAACUUAUAUCAAUGUAAACUCCUGUUAGUUCGAUGGAUUUGAUAUUUUAAACCAAAAUAUGUAGACCGGCGAGUACAUACUUGCCAGGUCACGGUGUAGUCGGUAGCCGUAGCGCGGCUAGAGCCGGCCGCGCCUCUGGUCGGAUGUACUGUAAUUAUAAUGACACAGUUAAUCGAAUAAAGCGGAUGUUAGAUAUUUUUACUUGGGGUGGUAAAAAGCGUGCAGCCCCUUUGAAAUGAAAGUUUUGAUACGAAAGUUUGUUACAAAAGCUCAAAGAUCAAAUACGGCCAUAAACCAACCGCUCUCCGCAACCGACACUCCCCCGUACUUUUACGGACCACGGGAGUUAAAAUAUUAAGGUUAACAUUAAUUAACUACAUUAAUAGUGCUACGGUGAUCCGUUCGCUGUUUCGCUUCGAGCAGUUCCGAUUUCUAACCGACUCGUGCCACCUCUGUAACACUUUUUUAGUAGAUACGACAUCCCUAGAUGGAUCGAGAACAUUCUGGGCUAGUCGAGUAGUUUCAAAGUGUGUUUCUGCUCUCUGACGAUAGAUGGUGUACAUCGGUACAUCUCGAGCUUUCUCGGCGUUACUAGUUCCUUUGAUAUUCGUUUCGGCUAUUCGACUAUGCGGCGAUAGAUGGCGUUACUGUUACCGGCGUAACAACAGCGUGUACCAGAAAGCUUUUAUCCAAAAUUAUUUAUAGUUCUUGAGCAUUUGUGAGAUUAUUAAACUCAAUCAAUAUUAAUCCAUACUAUACUAAUAUCAACAUAUAAUAAUAUAUAUAAUAAAUAUAUAAUGUCCAUCUUUCACCUCGAAACGAAUCAAUGGACUGACCCGUUUAUAAUAUGUGGCGGGCAGCCAUCAUACAAUGCAAGAUAUUUGACAGAUGCCUGAAUCUCGCUAACGACAUCUUCAAGAUAAGCUCGCAUAUAUACAAGUUCCGAACAACAACAUUCGGACCGUCGGUCUACCGAGCAAUAUCUCACGCUCGGUGGAAGAUCUUCUCUUUGUCGUAUACCUCCAAAAUUAUAUUUAUUAUAUGACUCAAGAAUGAUAUUGUCAACGUUUACCCUGAAAAAAAAAAUUAAUUCCUGCAGGAAACUGUGUUUUUUUAUUAACUUUAGAAAAAAUACGAGAACACUUUUCGCUGAGCACGCAGGCGAAGCCGCGGGUAGCGCCCAGUUAUAAUAUAAAUUAAACAAUAUUGGAAACGAGCACAAUCAGCUCUCGAAACCAAUGAAGUCUUAAGGUCGGCAUUCAGUGGAACUACAUUAGGGACCGACCGACCUUCGGCCCUCUCAACUACAUAAAAGGUUUCCACGAUAUAAUUCAUCUAUAACUAUUCACUUAACGAUUGGAAACGGAAAAGUGAGUUAAUCUUGAGCAUAGUUGGUAUCUACGGAAUGUAGCCGUGCUAUUGAAUGUAGCAUGCUGUUAACUAGCAAUGUGAGAAAUUUCAAUAUAAUUACGACUUUGCCGAUCUCAUGAUCAAAGAAUUGCAAGUUUAGAUGACCUCUCAGCGUCAGCUGGACUGCAAGCUUAGUUACUCAUCUACACUAAUAAAAAACGCAACUAUGUUGUCUCAAGAGUACGACGUGCAAAUUAAGUUACAGACACAGCCCACUGAGUUUCUCGUCGGAAGUUCUCAGUGGGCGCCACCGAUCUGGUGCUAGAUUCAGCGAAGCACGGCUAUCACUAGAGUAGGUGUUAGCAAAUCUUCUCAGGUCAAGCCCCGUGGGCUCGCCCGCCAGUCGGGGUGACUCCAGAACAGACCCUCGAGGCUAGCGACAGUAAGGGCUACAUUAAAUAAUAAAACGUUUAAGUAAACUGUUCAAAUUAAAAAAUAAAAUGUGCUAUCAAAGUCUCGACAGAUAUAAACAUUGACACAAUUUAGAAAAUAUUCACAAAGAAUUCAAUUUGAGACGUCUUCAAGCCAACACAAACGCCUACAAUGUCAACUGGAAAGUGAGAUCCAGUUCAGAGUGUCGCUGCAUUUCACCGGAUUGAAUAAGAUACUAAUAUCUGUGGACCGGAUGUCCGGUGUCGGUGGAUGGCGGCAGCGGCCGAGAUGUCCACUUGUCACUGUAAGAACGAGGCUUACGUUGUGACGCGCCCGGAUAUUUUAUGGCUGAAAGAAUGCUGUCACUUUAUAAUAAAAGGUGAGUCGAAUUGUUUUUUAUCCCGAGAGAGAGGAGACUAAAGAAUAAUUAAUAAAUAAGUAGGUAAUCAGUAAUUGCUUCUUUCUCUGUGCACUAAUCUAUUUUAGAAUUUAAAAGGUUAAAGUUUUCUUUAGUGAAAGCUAUUUUUCAUUACCGAAAGUUUAUACGAAGUUCAUCAAAGACCGGCUAAGUUUGGUGAAAGCUGAAUUGAAAUAUAAGUUUAUUGAAAAUAUUGAAAACCGAUUUCAAUAGUAAAACACACACACAACACAAGCACAAACUAGCAGCUUCGGACCCGGACGAGUCGAAAGAGCUUAGUUUUCGUUGUUUUUGUAUAUUUUGAUUUAAAUGCCAAACUUCUUAAUUAAUGUCAUGAAAUCUCCAUAAUGACUUUCCAAAUUGGUUUAUAAAUAAAGUAGUAACAAAAAAAUAAAAACCACAACCAAAUUAAGAACCUCCCGUUUUUUAAAUCAGUUUUAAAAGUUAAAAAGUUUCAGUUACUUUAGGGGUCGUGACGCAGCGUGCCCGAGAUGAUGGCAGGCGCUCUUAUGUAUGAAAAAUUAUGAAGUUAAGGAAGCCACGCAAGCGAACAUAGGCAGGCCACUAUUGUUCUGUAAAUCAACGAACUGAUCAGACAGUAGAACUCACGUUCUGCCGCGUCCUAGUCGCAUGCGGUAUAACACGUCAUGCUGGUCCAGCGCUCACGGUGUGCCGCCUGUACACUCCGAUGACCAUUUAAAAUCGAGUGUGCCGUGAUACCGCUGCUCACCUGUGCGAAAACAAGAACUAAACACAAAUGAUGAGAUUUAGUUUGACGUAAACAAGAGCGGCCGCUGAGAAGAAUUCACUCCAUAAAACCGAACUAAUUGUGUUCUCAGACAGAGCCACAUAACUCGGAAUGAAAGACAUAAAGUGGCCAACCUAAUCUAGAUCUAGUUGAUUGGACGAUUUUAGUACAUAUUGAAGUAGUUCCCUCGUGGUAAUGUCGUAGCGGCGGGCACGGCACGAGCAGCGCUUUCCAACUAGUUGCAGUAUUGAGUGGCAAUGGGAGCCGCGCCAGGUAUUAGGGACCCGUGAGAAGCUGAGCUCAGUGCUCGGUGAGGGUGCUUCCAGACAGCGUUAGAAACAAAUAGUAGUCCAGAGCUGCACGGAGCGUCGCCGCGAGUCGUGCCAGAGUGUAAUUAUAAACGGUGACAUUGGCUGACGACCAACGCUCUUGAACUUUGUAGAAAUACUUGAAACUUUUAUUACUUUGUCUUAGAAUAGUAUCUAUCUGAUCGUUUCGUGGGUCUAGUUGUUGCACCGCUGAAGCGGUUCUAUUCCUGGUCGUAGUUUUCUCAUACGAGUCUGUACCUAUAUAUGUGUAUUUACAACACCCAGAUCAUACGAGAUAAUGGAAGUUGCUUGGGACUGCUGAACGAGAAAUGCUCAAGCGAGUAAGCUUAGUUAAGUAGACAUUUCUAUUUUCAAACUAUCACUCACAGCAGAGGGUGAGGAAGUAUAUCGAUAAGAGAGGUGUUUCAAAAGAACACUGAUGAGGCGCGGUCAGAGUUUCCACCUGCAGGCGUCGGUACUGUUCGUGUGUCGAUCUACACGGCUGAAAGCUCUACACGCCUUGAAAAAACCACUGUUAAGGUUCAUAUUUCCCAUCGAAAUGCCACCAAACUGAACAACAUUGCAAUAUUCAUAAAGUCUCAAAAUAAUCGAAGUAUGUCAACAGCUUGGCGGUGACAAACACAUUGCAGCCUCUUCGUCUACAGCCAAACGGCUAACCAUCAUGAACAAAUAACACAUACAAUAAGUUAUACCGUGUGUUUAUUGAGUACCGCACGUGGCUGCUCCGGCCGGCCUCAUCAUAAAGUGCCGAUAUCACACGAGGGGCUGAUGGAACACAGACGAGCGCCGGCGGUGCACCAAUAAACACUUUAUGUUGUCGUCAUGGACUUGCGAUAUCACGAUGACUAUUACACUCGCUCUGAGUUAUGGGGCAAAACGAUAUCACUUGGCUAAUCUCCGAUGAGAUAUUGUUGUAAUAAUGAAAAUUAUGAAUAAAUUUGAAAUUUCGGUUUCAGUUCGAUACUGAACAUGUACAGGAAAGUGUUCAGUUUUCUGGAGAGAGUUCCGCUCAGCCGCGUAGCCGGUGCGACCACCUGCUCGUGUUCACCGCGGAGCACAUUCUGUGUCGGCAAAGCGUUACUACAAAAUAAACUUCUCCGUGCCGACCGGUUCCGAGGGCGAGGGGCUCUUAAUGUCAAAUGAGAUUUGAACUCGUCUGCAUAUCAACGUCGUUAAAGAUGUAGUAUGUACGUAACGUCAAGUUAAAGUAUAUUUAAAGUAUCUACGUAAAGUGGGAGUUUUUAUUUUUUUACUGCUGUACUGUGCCGUGCUGUGCUUAGUAAUGAGGCAAUUAGUGCUCAUUAUCUAUAUAGGUAUGUAUAUACGUAAUCAAUGCAUAUUUUGUAAUUUUAAAUUCGUUUACUUCUCGCUUUGGUUGACAAAAAGCUAUUCAAAGCAUUUGUGUUGAAAUAACAAUGUAACCAUAACCCAGGUGAUGAGUCGGCGCCGCGGACGUGAGGCCCCCGACUGCUUCAGACAAUUAGAGACCGCAGGUACGACGCGAUACGAUACAAUCCAAUCCCGGUGCAAACAGUUUAAAGCCCUUCUUAAAUACGACAAGCACCUUCAAUCUUCAAAAAAAUGAUUAGUGAGAAACAUUGAAACAAUGUUUUCUGUUUUCGAAACUUCUAAGAGUGAUUUCCUCUUGAAGCAUGUUUUCUCUAACGAAAUCACGUACUUUGCGGAUGUUGAGAAUUUAAUUUGUGUUAAACACGAAUGAGAAUUGUUUUCUGCUGGUUGUGAUAUUUUCUUUGAAAGCGAGGCGGCUUGCCUCUGAUGGUUCAGUGGACGAAAUCAACUUACACAGAUGAGAUCACACGAGUUUUCUCAUUUUCUUUAAAACUCAAACGAAGGAUUUGCAUUCUUAGCUCAGCGGCAUCAUUAGUGCAUUCCAAGCUCAAAAUUUAUUAUAUUAAUCUCGUUAAUUCUGAAAGGCACAAAAGAUCGCGGGUUGCAUAUAAUUUUCUGCCCAACAAAAUUAAGUAAGAAUCUAUUUAAAGAUACCGAAGUACGGUGAUUACGGGACAUUUUUUUUUAUUGCUUAGAUGAGUGGACGAGCUCACAGCCCACCUGGUGUUAAGUGGUUACUGGAGCCCAUAGACAUCCACAUCUUAAAUGCACCACCCACCUCGAGAUAUAAGUUCUAAGGUCUCAAGUAUAGUUACAACGGCUGCCCCACCCUUCAAACCGAAACGCAUUGCUUCACGACAAAAAUAGGCAGGGUGGUGGUACCCACCCGCGUGGACUCACAAGAGGUCCUACCACCAACUUUUACAUGGAGUGUAAUAAAUAAGUAAAUAAAUAAUUUCAGAAGACGCAGUGUCCAUCGCGGCCGCCUGCUGUCGUCACGCUAUACAUCCGGUCCUCGUUGAGCAGACCAGACUUUCCUCUCUUUUCAAGAAAUCCACACAGUAUUUUUUUUUAGGAACGAGUAUAACCACUAAAAUUAGAGAGUCCCCAAGUUUUUGCAGAUAAAAUCGGAGUGUAAGACCCAUGAUCUAAGUUAGGAAGCACAUUACUCCGGAGAGUUGGUGGCUAAAUUGAAUUUUAUUCGUAAUUUAUGUUUUGGUGAAUGAAGCACAAUCGUCUCGUCGACUACUCGCAAAUCUGAUAAAGAACUCGGCCGCCCUUCAAUUUGUCAACAUCAGCUGUCAGCGAGCGCGGUGCGGUGCGGGGCGGCGCGGGGGGCGGGGGCUCGCAGUCGCACAAUCGACGCGACGCCUCCACGUAAACGCGUACAGAGUAACAGUUUCUAGAAUUCCUAGGCUGAUGACGUAGUAACGAUCCUAGUAGUACUACCUACUAGUAGUACUACUUGGGUUUUUAUAUUAUUAGUUCGCAGCAAAAAUCAGCAUGACAGUGCUACCUACAUACUUUUCUAUCUGUUUUUGUUUCUUCAAAUAUGUGACAUUAGAGAUUAUUCGUUAAGAAUAGAUUCCAGGUAAAGAGCCCGGUACGAUAAUUAGGUGAGCGCUAAAACCGCGUGUUGACACAACACAAAGGGCACUGAUUAAUAUAUUAGUUUAUCGGUUCAUUUUAACUACUUAGAUGAAUGUUAAUUUCAGUUUGACACGUUUAAUUGACUCUGUUGCCGCCAUCUCAGCAGGACAUUUUAAUUUUUUUUAACUGCAUAUGUGGGCAGAGUAGCAUACGGCCGACCUGUUGAUCAAUGGAUACCGUCGCUCAUGGACAUCAGCAAUGCCAGAGGCACAGCCAAGUGAUUGCCUAUCCUUGACUACUCUCCACAAAGUUACAUAAGCUUACAAAUCGUAGUAAUGCAUGUACGCACAAUUUUUUUGAGAUGAUUAGCUCUGAGCCUAGCAUUUAUGAAACAAAUGAAACCGCAUAUUACAAGAAAUUAUUGAGACAAUGAACAAUUGCAUGCAUAUAGAACUGGGGGCUCUGUGAGGUUAUCCCCUCGCGCGGUUUAUUAGAACAUUUUCUUCGAGCUGGUGCCAAAACUCGUUUGAGUUUUAAUGUUAUUUAUUGCAGCUGAAACAUGGCUUUUGUGGAGCAAGUGUCGCGACUAACCCCGACGAACUUUUAUUGAACACUUUUUAAUUCUUAAGUUUUAGUCUGAGUUAGUUUGUCAACCCUUAAACACUAAAUAUAUCAGGGACGUAGUUAGUAUCCUGUGUGCCAUAAGGUUGAAUGUAUUCUAACAUUAUUUCGUUCAAUCUACAAUACACACAACGUAGGUACAUUGGUUUAUAAUUUAUGCCGGGCUUUUAAAUUUCAUAAUCUCCAUAUUCUAUCUACAUAGUCCCUGAGCAAUGUGAAGGAUCGAACGAAUUACUUAUAAAGAUUUUCUUUUGUAGCUUCUGAACGCAGAGGGAACACGUCGAGAAGAGCUUGAACAAGAUGUCCAGACGCCUGCCUGGACGAUUGCCUUAAACCAGAAAGAUAUGAAACAAUUUUCAAAUUAUACGUAUUGUAUUCAUAGUUAUAUAGAUCAUAACAAGUCUGUACAUUUACUUCUCAUUUCACAUUUUAAUUAACUUAACGUCUCUCCACUCGAACCUUGAAGUAAUAAACUAAAGUACUUU